Molecule: long non-coding RNA, 1299 nt
Filed under: Manacus vitellinus (golden-collared manakin)
Lineage: Eukaryota; Metazoa; Chordata; Aves; Passeriformes; Pipridae
Description: lncRNA (ENSMVIG00005012530.1)
Source: RNAcentral
AUGCUAAAGUUUGAUCAUAAAAUGUGUGUACCUCCUCUUAUGUUUUUUGGGUUCUUUUUUUUUUUAACUGUGGGAGUUUCUAGAUCCUUUUAUUAUGUAAAGUGUAAUUGCACCCUGCCACUUUCUGUAUAUGGGAAUAUAUUUUUUAUUAUUUUUCUUUGCCCCUGGGUUUUAAACUGUUUGUAUUCCCAUAUCUGUUUGACUUCAGUUACUCUUGUGAAUCUGUCACCUUCUAGAACAUAUGCAGGUACUAAACCAGCUUUUCUUGCCCAGAAAAUUCCUUGGCCUUCAGUAGCUCAAAUUUCAUUUAGAGCAGGAACAUUUCAAAUUCUGUUGUGUAGCAAACAAAUCAGGUGUGCUGUUUCACACUGAUCUCCUGGUUGGUACAGCAAACCAACAUUGUCCUCCUUUUGUUUUUACAAACCUGUUGCACGGCUUCCCUGUAGAUCAGCACCUUGCCAAAAAGACAUAGCUUUAAAUUAAAAUGCCCCUCUUUCUAGCUGGCCUGUUUGCACAAGCCCUGUGGAGCUGAUGGCUGAUCAGGUUGGUAUAGACUGCCUUGUACAAGUUUUGGGACUCUGGUGUUCUGCUUGUACUGCUUUUCUCAGCUCACUGGUUAUAAUGAUGCUGGUUAAAGGCUCUGAAGCCAUGGUCAGCCAUUCACACAGCUGUCAGCACGUGGCUGCUGGGCUCUGUGGGCAUCUUUACCAGCACCUAAUUUCUAUUCUGUGUCUUCCUCCAGUGAUUUCACUGAUGACAAAUUGGCUUUGCAGGAUCUGACCCUAGGGAGAACAAAUCCAUCUUGUCCUUGACACAUGCAGUCUCUAUUACAUAAAUAGCCUGAACCCCCUCUGUUGACCAAGUGCUGCUGCUUCUCCUCCUGGGAGGGCAACUGAGGGUAGAACUUGCAUUUGUUUAGCCAUCAUGUGCUGCACAGAAUGCUAGCAGGUCUGCUACCAAGAGAGCUUUUUAAUUCGAAAUAGUAAAUACGCUCAUCUUUAGGAACUAAUCUACAGUAAUUAUAAAUAUGUACUUAUAUAUGGAAGAGAGCGUGUGUUGUUUUUUUUUUUCUUAAAGUUGUAACUAGAGAUGAUAUGAAGUGAAAGGCAUCCCUUAUAUAAGACUUCUGUUUAAUAUUAUUGUGUGGUUAAAUCCUUCCAUUAUAAAUUUGCACACUUUUUUCCUCUUCCCUUGCAUGUUCAACUCUGAUUUUUACAGCUGUUCUGUGCAGACAGUAAUGUAUUUUUGUAAAACAUUUUUGACACUGAAUUGCAAUAAAUGUUCAAACAAUGUGAACCA